CACCCAAAGUAUUGUAUAUAAAUUACAUACUCUUCAUAAGCCCGAGUUGAUUAGUCCUCCUACGUUAGAGCUUAAUCAUUUAACACUAAAAGUUGGGCAGUGUAGAGAACUCGCGAAACUGCUAUGAGUCUCAAAAGGCUCCAACAAGAAGCAUCUCAAAAUUGAAAAAUAUAGAUUCUAAAGGUUACUCAAACAGAAGAUGCAAUUUCUUUAACUAAAAAUACUCUAGCAUAGACCAACUUAUAAUGUACUACAAAUCUAAAUAGGUUAU
This 271-nucleotide long non-coding RNA is filed under the name Elaeis guineensis (African oil palm). RNAcentral's name for it is "long non-coding RNA (EGUI_LNC002420)". The record is from RNAcentral. Lineage: Eukaryota; Viridiplantae; Streptophyta; Magnoliopsida; Arecales; Arecaceae.